RNAcentral lists this ribosomal RNA (274 nucleotides) under uncultured bacterium. Its description in RNAcentral is "partial 16S ribosomal RNA". It matches the Rfam family "Bacterial small subunit ribosomal RNA", at positions 523 to 796 of the family's 1533-position model. The record is from RNAcentral.
AUACAGAGGGUGCAAGCGUUAAUCGGAAUUACUGGGCGUAAAGCGCGCGUAGGCGGUUUAAUCAGUCGGAUGUGAAAGCCCCGGGCUCAACCUGGGUACUGCAUUCGAUACUGUUAAGCUAGAGUAUGGUAGAGGGAAGUGGAAUUCCAGGUGUAGCGGUGAAAUGCGUAGAUAUCUGGAGGAACAUCAGUGGCGAAGGCGACUUCCUGGACCAAUACUGACGCUGAGGUGCGAAAGCGUGGGGAGCAAACAGGAUUAGAUACCCCAGUAGUCC